GCAUUUUUGUUACUUAAUACAGGAAGGAAGAAGACGGCUGGCCUGUGGCCGGGCCAGAAAAACUCCCCGCCACCAUCCAGAACGAGGUGGAGAGCUGAACACUGGUACAGGCAGCCAAGACCCGGGCUGGCUGCUCAGGGUAAGAGACUCACCGAGUUCAAGUUUAAAAAAAAAAAAAAAUUCUGCGUUUUUUUUGUAAAACAUUUGUGCAGCGUUGGCGUGUUGAAAAGGAGUCGUGUGCUCAGCUUGGGAAGUUUGCACUGGGAGGUGGAGCCGCUGGGUCAGGGCAGCAGGAACUGUCGAGUGUCGGUAGGCAGUAGAUACUGUUCCGGACUCCAGAAAAUCCAGGCAGGCCGAGGCGGAGGGGUCGAGAGAAGCGGGGCCUGUGUCUUCACUUCAGUGCAGCGGUUGUUGGCGGAGGCCCCACCCGUGGCCGCUGUGGCCUGGGCUCUGUGCUCAGGGAAGGGGCGCACCCCAUCUUGGAGGCGCCAGGCCUGUAUGGGCAGCCCUGCAUGUGUGCCUUGUGUGGCAGGCUCUUCCCCCAGCACCGUGUGUCCUGAUUCUUUUUUUUUUCUUUUAAGACUUCAUUUAUUUAUUCGACAGAGACAGCCAGCGAGAGAGGGAACACAAGCAGGGGGGUGGGAGAGGAAGAAGCAGGCUCCCAGCGGAGGAGCCCAAUGCGGGGCUUGAUCCAGCACUCUGGGAUCACGCCCUGAGCCGAAGGCAGACGCUUAACGAUUGAGCCACCCAGGCGCCCCCUGUGUCCUGAUUCUUAAUCCUCCCGCCAUUGUGUUUUAACUGCCCAGAGCCGGCAAUUCAUUAUUUCUUAACGAUUUUAUUUUAGAGCAUGAGUGGUGGGGUGGGGGGGGAGCAGAGAGAGAAUCUGAAGCAGAUUCCAUACUCAGCGUGGAGCCCAACAUGGGGCUUGAUCCCACGACCCUGAGAUUGUGGCCUGAGCUGAAGUCUAGAGCCGGACGCUCAACUGAUGGAGUCACCCCGGCACCCCAGUUCUAAACUGCUUUCGUGCUGUGUUUGGGUUAUUCACCCCCACCCCCACAAAGGAGAAAAUCUAGAUGGGGAAGAAAGUUACUUGGAUGUAGGGAGGAUGAGUUUUAGGGAUACUAAAAAUACGAGUAUUACAGUUGAAGUUUUGGAAUACGUUUUUCAAUAAAAGUGUUUCUCUGUUGGCA
RNAcentral lists this long non-coding RNA (1190 nucleotides) under Ursus americanus (American black bear). RNAcentral's name for it is "lncRNA (ENSUAMG00000019528.1)". Lineage: Eukaryota; Metazoa; Chordata; Mammalia; Carnivora; Ursidae. The record is from RNAcentral.